Molecule: ribosomal RNA, 492 nt
Filed under: uncultured bacterium
Lineage: Bacteria
Description: partial 16S ribosomal RNA
Rfam family: Bacterial small subunit ribosomal RNA
Source: RNAcentral
GAUGAACGCUAGCUACAGGCUUAACACAUGCAAGUCGAGGGGAAACGACAUCGAAAGCUUGCUUUUGAUGGGCGUCGACCGGCGCACGGGUGAGUAACGCGUAUCCAACCUGCCCAUCACUUGGGAAUAACCUUGCGAAAGUAAGACUAAUACCCAAUGACAUCCCACGAAGACAUCUGAAUGGGCUUAAAGAUUUAUCGGUGAUGGAUGGGGAUGCGUCUGAUUAGCUUGUUGGCGGGGUAACGGCCCACCAAGGCAACGAUCAGUAGGGGUUCUGAGAGGAAGGUCCACCACAUUGGAACUGAGACACAGUCCAAACUCCUACGGGAGGCAGGAGUGGGGAAUAUUGGUCGAUGGGCGAGAGCCUAAACCAGCCAAGUAGCGUGCAGGAUGACGGCCAUAUGGGUUGUAAACUGCUUUUAUAAGGGAAUAAAGUGGGUCUCGUGAGACUUUUUGCAUGUACCUUAUGAAUAAGGACCGGCUAAUUCCGUG